AUUGAACGCUGGCGGAAUGCUUUACACAUGCAAGUCGAGCGGCAGCGCGGGGGCAACCCUGGCGGCGAGCGGCGAACGGGUGAGUAAUACAUCGGAACGUGUCCUUGAGUGGGGGAUAGCUCGGCGAAAGCCGGAUUAAUACCGCAUAAGCUCUGAGGAGGAAAGCGGGGGACUGGUAACGGCCUCGCGCUGUUGGAGCGGCCGAUGUCGGAUUAGCUAGUUGGUGGGGAAAGGCCCACCAAGGCGACGAUCCGUAGCUGGUCUGAGAGGAUGAUCAGCCACACUGGAACUGAGACACGGUCCAGACUCCCACGGGAGGCAGCAGUGGGGAAUUUUGGACAAUGGGGGCAACCCUGAUCCAGCCAUUCCGCGUGAGUGAAGAAGGCCUGGUGUAAG
RNAcentral lists this ribosomal RNA (396 nucleotides) under uncultured bacterium. Its description in RNAcentral is "bacterial SSU rRNA". It matches the Rfam family "Bacterial small subunit ribosomal RNA", at positions 29 to 429 of the family's 1533-position model. The record is from RNAcentral.